Long non-coding RNA from Parasteatoda tepidariorum (common house spider), 813 nucleotides. The record is from RefSeq and is a predicted model, not a curated record. NCBI's taxonomy places the organism in Eukaryota, Metazoa, Arthropoda, Arachnida, Araneae, Theridiidae.
AAAUUACAAAGUACUCUCUGAUACUCUUGUCACCAAUGUUGCAAAAACCAGAAGUAAAAGAAAAUCAUACUAGUUCAUAAUUGAAGAUUAAAGUUAAAUCUAGUUGCUAUAACUCAUAAGCCGAAAUUUAUAUCUAUAUCCUGUCAAUCGGAAAGUUUCUCACUUAAGGAAUUCAUUUUUGCACAAUUAUUAUUUUUUCUGUUUUUCAUCGCUUCAAUUAACUCAUCAUAUUAUUUCCUUCAGGUUUUGACAAUUACUUUUCUAUCUGACGAAGUUUGCAUGUUCACCUGGCAGAGCAAUCUCCUAUUCUCACGAUAUCGUAGAUUAUGCUAAGCACACGAUAUUACAGAUCUGAUAAAAGAUUCGUAACCUAUCUAAAAUACGGUAUUGCGCAAACUCAUCGUACACAAUUUGUUGUGAGACAUUUUUAUAGAAAGAAAUUAUUCCUAGGAAGAAAACUUCUUGACACACUUUUAUUUUUUAUAAGCUCUUACACAAGUUCAUGGUCUAAACCAGCGAUCCCUGAAAGAUGUUCCUUCAAACCCGAGAGUUUGAAGAAAGAAUAGCACAGAGAAAUCAUGUAUUCUACGAAUAGAGAGUAAAGAAAACUCAUGAAGCAUGCAGAAUACCUACAAAAAAGGGGGAGAAGAGACAAAUAAAAAAAGAAACUUAUAAACGAACAUCAGUUUAAAAUGAAAAACGGAAUACAGCAACAAAAGAUGAAUGAGAGACAAAGAAAAUUAAUAUCAUUAUCCUUUGAUAUUAGUACUGUAUCAUUCAGUAAUUGAUUAAUUAAAAAAAUCUGCUUUGUAA